CAAAAACAUCGCCUCUUGAUUUUCUAUAAGAGGUCCAGCCUGCCCAGUGACCAUGUUCAACGGCCGCGGUAUCCUAACCGUGCGAAGGUAGCGUAAUCACUUGUUCUUUAAAUGUGGACUAGUAUGAAUGGCAUCACGAAGGUUAUACUGUCUCCUUUUUCUAAUCAGUGAAACUAAUCUCCCCGUGAAGAAGCGGGGAUAAAAUUAUAAGACGAGAAGACCCUAUGGAGCUUUAAACAACGCAGCAAUUACUAAAGAAUUUUUAAUGUUUCUGUANACACUNAACUUUUACAAGUAAAAUGACUGCAAGUUUUUGGUUGGGGUGACCACGGAGUAUAUCAUAACCUCCAUGUUGAAAGAAUUUUNNUCUAAGCCAAGAAUUACCAAUCUAAGCAUUAACAAAUUAUCAUCUAUUGACCCAAUAAAUUUGAUCAACGAACCAAGUUACCCUAGGGAUAACAGCGCAAUCCACUUCAAGAGCCCCUAUCGACAAGUGGGUUUACGACCUCGAUGUUGGAUCAGGGUAUCCCAGUGGUGCAGCCGCUACUAAAGGUUCGUUUGUUCAACGAUUAAAACCCUACGUGAUC
RNAcentral lists this ribosomal RNA (587 nucleotides) under Rhinella major. RNAcentral's name for it is "partial large subunit ribosomal RNA". It matches the Rfam family "Bacterial large subunit ribosomal RNA", at positions 1808 to 2605 of the family's 2925-position model. The record is from RNAcentral. Lineage: Eukaryota; Metazoa; Chordata; Amphibia; Anura; Bufonidae.